This 63-nucleotide non-coding RNA is filed under the name unclassified sequences. The record is from RNAcentral.
GGGUGCUGACUGCUUGGUGCAGUGAGGCAGGUUAAAAGACUACGCUGGUCGGGCCGCCAUACG